RNAcentral lists this long non-coding RNA (258 nucleotides) under Arachis ipaensis. RNAcentral's name for it is "long non-coding RNA (AIPA_LNC001381)". Lineage: Eukaryota; Viridiplantae; Streptophyta; Magnoliopsida; Fabales; Fabaceae. The record is from RNAcentral.
UUUUGACUGCUAUGUUGGCCUUGUUUCUGGUUUUUCUUUUGUUCUCUUCUUUCUUCCAGAGCCAUGAUCAUCACAAAUCUUCUAAGGAGAUAAGUCUCUCUAGGAAGUUGCUAUCUCAAUCUAUGGAUUCUAUUAUUUCAACAAGAAGAGUAGGAAAAUUAAGUGGAAGCAAGAAACAGAAUAAGAAAGCUGUGUUUGUGCAACAGAGUUUGAGGAAAGCUCCACCAAGUGUUCCAAAUCCUACUCAGAACAAGUAGC